GAUGAACGCUGGCGGCGUGCUUAAUACAUGCAAGUCGAGCGAACAGACGCGGAGCUUGCUCCUCUGACGUUAGCGGCGGACGGGUGAGUAACACGUGGAUAACCUACCUAUAAGACUGGGAUAACUUCGGGAAACCGGAGCUAAUACCGGAUAAUAUAUUGAACCGCAUGGUUCAAUAGUGAAAGACGGCUUUGCUGUCACUUAUAGAUGGAUCCGCGCCGCAUUAGCUAGUUGGUAAGGUAACGGGUUACCAAGGCGACGAUGCGUAGCCGACCUGAGCGGGUGAUCGGCCACACUGGAACUGAGACACGGUCCAGACUCCUAAGGGAGGCAGCAGUAGGGAAUCUUGCGCAAUGGGCGAAAGCCUGACGGAGCAACGCCGCGUGAGUGAUGAAGGUCUUCGGAUCGUAAGACUCUGUUAUUAGGGAAGAACAAAUGUGUAAGUAACUAUGCACGUCUUGACGGUACCUAAUCAGAAAGCCCCGGCUAACUACGUG
Molecule: ribosomal RNA, 497 nt
Filed under: uncultured bacterium
Lineage: Bacteria
Description: partial 16S ribosomal RNA
Rfam family: Bacterial small subunit ribosomal RNA
Source: RNAcentral